Molecule: ribosomal RNA, 253 nt
Filed under: uncultured bacterium
Lineage: Bacteria
Description: partial 16S ribosomal RNA
Rfam family: Bacterial small subunit ribosomal RNA
Source: RNAcentral
UACGUAGGGUGCGAGCGUUACUCGGAAUUACUGGGCGUAAAGCGUGCGCAGGCGGCUUCGCAAGUCAGACGUGAAAUCCCCGGGCUUAACCUGGGAAUGGCGUUUGAAACUACGGAGCUGGAGUGUGGCAGAGGGAGGUAGAAUUCCACGUGUAGCGGUGAAAUGCGUAGAUAUGGGGAGGAACACCGGUGGCGAAGGCGGCCAUCUGGACGGAUACUGACGCUGAGACGCGAAAGCGUGGGUAGCAAACAGG